UACAGAGGGUGCGAGCGUUAAUCGGAAUUACUGGGCGUAAAGCGCGCGUAGGCGGCUUUGCAAGUCGGGUGUGAAAUCCCCAGGCUUAACCUGGGAACUGCAUUCGAGACUGCAUUGCUAGAGUAUGGGAGAGGGAAGUGGAAUUUCCGGUGUAGCGGUAAAAUGCGUAGAUAUCGGAAGGAACAUCAGUGGCGAAAGCGACUUCCUGGACCAAUACUGACGCUCAUGUGCGAAAGCGUGGGGAGCAAACAGG
RNAcentral lists this ribosomal RNA (253 nucleotides) under uncultured bacterium. RNAcentral describes it as "partial 16S ribosomal RNA". It matches the Rfam family "Bacterial small subunit ribosomal RNA", at positions 524 to 776 of the family's 1533-position model. The record is from RNAcentral.